CCUUGCUUCACUUUAUUCUCCCCCCCGCCGCCGCCUCCGGCCAGCUCCUUGUCGCCGCUGCCGUGGUUGUUAUUGCGGCCGCCGUCGGGGGGUUCGCUGGGGGCCGCCGGCUGCUGGGCCCCCUUCCCCGGCUCCUCCAGGGCGCCCUCAGAGCGGGUGCACAGACCCCGCGCCGGGCCCGGACCGCGGCGAGUAGCGGGGCCGGCACCCAGGGCGGCGAGCUGCGGCGGGAGGCGCCUGGAGCCGGAGCCGGGCCCGCCGCCGCCGGCCGCCCCCGGCGGGCCGAGCAGCAGCAGCUCCCGCAACAGCGCCGCCCGCCACAGCCGCAUCAUGCUGCACCUCCG
RNAcentral lists this long non-coding RNA (344 nucleotides) under Gallus gallus (chicken). Lineage: Eukaryota; Metazoa; Chordata; Aves; Galliformes; Phasianidae. The record is from RNAcentral.